RNAcentral lists this long non-coding RNA (5334 nucleotides) under Homo sapiens (human). RNAcentral describes it as "small nucleolar RNA host gene 14". The stretch from base 1 to 96 matches the Rfam family "Small nucleolar RNA SNORD116". Lineage: Eukaryota; Metazoa; Chordata; Mammalia; Primates; Hominidae. The record is from RNAcentral.
GGAUCGAUGAUGACUAUAAAAAAAAUGGAUCUCAUCGGAAUCUGAACAAAAUGAGUGACCAAAUCAUUUCUGUGCCACUUCUGUGAGCUGAGGUCCAGCACUGGGACCAUGCCAGGCAAACAUGAGGAGGGAGUUUACAGGGACUAGGAUUGGGUGAGAUACAAUUCCAUGGAAUUUUACCACUGAACCAGUGGAGGGCUAAUUUUGUCAUUUGUACCAGUUAACUAACUUGGGAGGAAACAGAACAACACACUCCUGAGAUUGGUUUUCACAGAAUUCCAUGGACUUUAACUGCUGAACCAAUGAUGCACUGAUUUUGUCACUUGUACCAGCUAACGCAUCUGGGAGGCAACAAAACAAUACUCUCCUGAGGUUAAUGUGGACCAAAAACUAGAUUUCAUAUAAAAGAGUUUAUUCCUUCUACUUGAGGUGUGACAUGAAGGAAAGUAAUGGAAAUAAUUCUGCCCUCCCAUUCUCAAGGGCCAGGGGGAAUUCAAAUAUUGAACGGAAGUGAUUUUGGAAUUGCAUGGAAUUCUCACUGCCAUCCCAAAGAAAUGCUGAUCUUGUCACUCUUACCUGUUUCAUUCCCUGGGGGCAGAACAAAAGGACGCACUCCAAAGAUCGGCAUGAACCAAGAACUGGGUUUCAUAUAAAAUAUUUUAUUCUGUCCUCUUGAGAUGUGACAUGAGAAAAGUAUUGAGAAUACUUCUAUCACCUCAUCUUCAAGAAUCCGUAGGAAUUCUCCCAUGGUGGACUUUACGGUUAACCUGAACAGGUCUUGGAAAAAGGACUUUAAACAUUCUCCUGUUCUGUGGAAUAAGUAUACUUUUUUCUGGACAUACACCUUGUCAGUGAGUUCCAUGUGAUACUAGAGUUGCAUAGAUUUUUAACCUUUACGCCAAUGAAGAUCUGAGGCAAACAUUGCCCCUUUUUUAGAAGUUUGCAUUUGUCACUGAUAACUGUAAUAAUUGAUCUUGUUGAAAAGCCUGGGAAAUGAAGAUCUGAUAUGUCACUUUUACCGGCUUCCUCAACUGAAAAAGAAUACAAUGAAACACGCUGAGAAUUUUUGUGCUUUCUCAGUCUUGCUGAUGAUCUUUCUAUGGGCCUGAAGCGUGGAGAGUGCCAGAGAGGCUGAUCCUCAGCAGUGUGGCAGAGGAAAGUUGGGUGCGACUAAGGGGUAUGCGGUGCCCACAUGCCACUGGGUCCUCAGCAGUACCACCUGAUUGGAAGUGAUAUUGGUGGAAGACAACAUUUUGCCGCUUGGAAUUCUCACCUCCACACCAAAGAAGUACUGUUUUUGUCAUUUGCACCAGCUUCUUUCUCCAGGAAAGAUCAAAACGAUGCACUGCAAGUGUGAUUGGUCCAGAUAGCUGCCUUAUCCAACUGCCUCCUUUGGACCACUUCAUCAUGGGACAGCUUGAUGCAAUCUACUUGACAAGACCCUGGAACCCCACACCCCUCAUGGAACCAGUGUCCACCUCCCAGUCACAGUGUGACCCCAGGGAACUCUUGCCUGCUUGCUUUAAACCCACCACUUAAAAGUCUCCACAGAAAACCUGUUUGAAUAGUACCCUUGACCCAAUAAGGGCAUUGGCCCCUGGGUGUCUCUCUCUCUCUCUCUCUCUCUCUCUCCCUCUCUCUCCCUCUCUCUCUCUCGCUCCCUGACCUCUGCGUGUGGACUCCAGGCAUGCCAUAUACCCCUCAGGACCUGAAGCAAAAGAAUGAAUUAAAGAAAACUCCAGAGAAUGAGCUGACAACCUACUCCCUGGUCAGUGGCUCUCCAUGCCUACCUGUGGUCUCUUGGACACCCUUGCAGAAGAUGACUUCCUGGGAACUCUUCUGGGAGUGAAUGUUAUCAGCAAAUUCCCAAAACAACACCCCUUAGACAAAAAGCCUCCUCACCUAUGCAUUGCCUAGACCACCCACUAAAGGUGAUGGCCACAAAGAGGUGGAUUUGUUGAGUUGGUGCCAUUCCUUCUACUGCCAGCUUCACCAAAACAAUGACACAGUCUUCCUUCCGCAUGGAGACUCUUCUCUUUCCUGUGUUGCAGUGGAUGCCUCCUGCAGAUAAGAAAUGCUUAACUGAGAAAUGCUCAUGUUGGGAUAUCAUCGAUGAGACUUUAAUUUGGGCAUGGUGACUGUUUCCCUUGCUGCCACUUGACUCAAUCCCAGGAGCCUCAGUAGAGGAUAUAAUAUUACACAAGAUGCUCAAAAUGGUGGAAUUGCUCAGUGCUCCCAUAAAUAUACAUUUAUAAUUUUCAUUUGCCACAUGGUAAACUGAAAAAUACAGACUAUAUUAAAAAGAAACUGCAUGAUUUUUUUUCAAAAAUUCAAAGCAUAUUUAAAUAAUAUAUAAAUUAAAUGCCCUCCUCUCUUCCAAUUCUGUCCCUAUAGUUUUCCUCUAUUAAGUGAACUACAUGCAUUCUUUUAGUGGAUAGAUGCACACAAACACACAAGCCAUUAUGGGGAAGGAUCCACGUGUGUGGCCAUAUUGUAACACAUUUUUCUGCAAAUCACCUCUUUCAUUUAACAGCCCUUAUUCAAUGGCCUUUUUCUUUUUCAGUAGUACAUACACAUCUGUGUCAUUUGUUGAAUGACGACAUGAAUGUUUUGUAGAUAAAAUAUAAUUAAAUGUUUUAAGCAUUUCUCACUCAUAGAUAUUUAUGUUAGCACCAAAUUUCUGUGCAAUGAACCUCCCUAUAUAUCAGUAAUUUUGCAUUUGUCUAUAAUAUCAUAAUAAAUUACUUAUCAGUUGAAUUACUGGGAUUAAGUAUGUGCACACUUUAUAUUUAUAUUUUGAAAAUUAUUGCAAGAUUGCCUUCAAAAAUGUGGUUAACAACUUUAUCUUCAAAUGGCAAUGAAUGAGAUUGCCAGCUUUCCUACAGCCUCACAGACAAUGGAUUUUAUAAAUAUUUAACAUUUUUGCCAAUGUGAUCACCCAAACUAUUGUCUUAAAUUGUAUCUCUUUUGUUUUUGAGUUUGGUCAUUUUUUCAUGUUUAUUAGCCAUCUGUAUUUUUUAAUUUCUUCUUUAUGUCCAAUUUUGUGGGUGGGAGGAGGAUUUAGUCUCUUCCUGAUUUCGAAGAGCUCAUUUACUAUUUCGGGAAAUAAGAUUUGGAUUGUCAACCAUUAUAGCUAUUUUUUACACACUUUUCAACUUUGUUUUUGUUAUAAGAAUGUGUAUGAUUGUUACAUGUCCAAGUAUAACCAUGUUCGCUUUUAUGGCUUCUGAGUUUCAUGUCAUUUUUGGAAAGAUAUAUAUAUUGAGUCCAUAAAACCCUUCACCUAUGUUAAAUUCUAAUUCUUUUGUGUUUUUUUAAUUCAAAUUCUUAAAUCAUGAGAAAUUUUUUUGUUUUGAAAUCUUAAAGUUGCCAAGUUACUUGCCAUUACUUGCGAUUAUUUGCCAAUAAUUGCCCAUUUAUCUGUACCGCCAUCUUGCGCAUAUGCUGUACUCUCAUCUGUGACUGGCUCCAUUUUUGUUCUGUGGAUUUGUGUGUCUCUUCUUCUGCCUCCUGUCUCGUGUCUGCUCGUUGGAAGAAAUUACAGUUUAGACUGCAAUUUCAUCAACUUUAAUAAAUCAAUUGAGGGGAGAAUUGGUUUUUAAAAAUAUUAAGUAAGUCUUCGUAUCCAAGGACAAGGUAUGUCUUUUCUUAUUCAAUAAUUUUAAUUACUGUUAAUAUUUUCACUGUGGUGAUGGGAGUUUUUCUUUUAAUUUAUUUUCUUGUUCAUUUUUUGUAUCUAAAGUUUUUGUUUUGUUUUGUUUUGGGGGUAAGUUGUCACCUUACUGUUUCUUGUUGCUUUUCAGAUUUUUUCAAAGUAUAGACUAAAUCCUUCACAAAUAUUUAAAGUUUUUAUUUUCCCCCUUCAUAUUGAUCCUGAUUUUAGUUAUGUUGACAAAGUCCACAGACUGUUACUAUCAGAACACUUGAACAGUUAUGGAAAUAUUACCUACCCUUGAUUUAAUCAGAGUUUAAUGGUAUGCUUCUUUGGUUUGACUGGCACAUUGUCGCUGGUCAUUUCCUCCCAAAGACCACCAGAAAGAGCUAUGAUCAAGCAAAGCUGAGUUUGUUAAACUUACCUGCAGCAAGGGAAAACACCACCUUGAUAGGGUUUAAUAAUGUUUCAAAAUCAAGAAAUGAGGCUUUGGGGUCUGGGCAGGGAACUAAUUAGAAAUGGGCAAAAUUUGUCAUGCAAUACCUUGUGGGAAAGUGAGAUGAGGUUCUUAAUGUGAGUAUUGAUGGUGAAAUCAUUUUCUAGGUGAGCUGUUUGCCUAUAUAAAGAUGUUAUCAAUGACAGAAGAACUAUUUGCCUAGAUAAACAAACUGAAUUUAUUUAUUGGUUUACAGUUUUAUCUUGCUGGGCAGGACUCUGCUGGGGGUGGUAUCAGGUCUUAUUCCCAAUAGGUAAGUUAUUUGGAUAUGGGUGGUCUUAAUCAUCAAUGUGUAAAAUGCUGAUUUUAAGUGCGAAAUACUUUGUCUACCAUGUUAGGAAAGUCUGCCACCUUUUAUCUUUUUUAAGGAAUUUUAAUCAAAACCAGGUGGUAGAUAUAAUCAAAUUGUUUUGCAGAAUCAAUUUUCCUGUUCUCUUUAAAGACUUUUAUCACUGUGAAUUAAUUUACUAUUAUUGCAACUUCCUUUAAUUCCUUGAAUGAACAGACCCUACUGGUUUUAAAAAUGUUUUAUUCUUUUAAUUUACUACUUAAUUGUGGGUAUUUUAAUUUGAUUUGGAAUUUUUACAAGUAUACAACUAAGUGAAAUUGAUCUGUGAUUUUUCUUUUUUGUGCUAUUUUUGUCAUGUUUUGAUAUCAGAUAUUCUGGUUGUGUUAAAAUAAUUUUGAGGAUUUUCUUCUUAUACUGUGUUCUAGAGUGGGUAAAAAAGCCCUAGUCUCACUAUCAGUGUUUAAGUGAACACAUCAGUGACAUCAUCUGGACUCUCCUUUGUUUUUGCUGGUUUGGAGUUAGGACAUCUAGAAGUUUUUUUCUUUUUUUCCUUUUUUUGUAUGGUUAUUGCUUGUUCUUUGUUUUGUGUCAAAUUUAACCUGUUUUCUCUUAGCAAAUCACAGCUCAUGCAGAUUUUCAAACACAUUAGCCUUGUUAUACAAAGUGUUCUUUCAUCAUUCUAUUAAAUUUCCAUUUUCAUUCCAGUUAUAGUUAUUUCUGCUGUGCCUUUGUUAAUGAAUAAGUUUAAACAGUGGAUGUUUAGCAUCACUAGCCUUCCCCUUCCAUCUCCCUUAAUCAGGACCUUGGUAUAAUUUAUCAGGUAUUUUUUAAGGUUCUAAUUUACUUAUAUAUAUUGUUUCUGUAUUCUUUUGUUUCUUUUCUUAAUAAAUUCUUAAA